Molecule: ribosomal RNA, 473 nt
Filed under: uncultured bacterium
Lineage: Bacteria
Description: bacterial SSU rRNA
Rfam family: Bacterial small subunit ribosomal RNA
Source: RNAcentral
ACUCCUACGGGAGGCAGCAGUAGGGAAUCUUCCACAAUGGGCGCAAGCCUGAUGGAGCAACACCGCGUGAGUGAAGAAGGGUUUCGGCUCGUAAAGCUCUGUUGUUAAAGAAGAACACGUAUGAGAGUAACUGUUCAUACGUUGACGGUAUUUAACCAGAAAGUCACGGCUAACUACGUGCCAGCAGCCGCGGUAAUACGUAGGUGGCAAGCGUUAUCCGGAUUUAUUGGGCGUAAAGAGAGUGCAGGCGGUUUUCUAAGUCUGAUGUGGAAGCCUUCGGCUUAACCGGAGAAGUGCAUCGGAAACUGGAUAACUUGAGUGCAGAAGAGGGUAGUGGAACUCCAUGUGUAGCGGUGGAAUGCGUAGAUAUAUGGAAGAACACCAGUGGCGAAGGCGGCUACCUGGUCUGCAACUGACGCUGAGACUCGAAAGCAUGGGUAGCGAACAGGAUUAGAUACCCUGGUAGGAUACCG